UGAGGAAUAUUGGUCAAUGGGCGCAAGCCUGAACCAGCCAUCCCGCGUGCAGGAAGACGGCCCUAUGGGUUGUAAACUGCUUUUCCAGGGGGAGAAUUUUUCUGUCGUGACAGGAAUUGACGGUACCCUGGGAAUAAGCAUCGGCUAACUCCGUGCCAGCAGCCGCGGUAAUACGGAGGAUGCGAGCGUUAUCCGGAUUUAUUGGGUUUAAAGGGUGCGUAGGCGGAUUGAUAAGUCAGUGGUGAAAUCCUGCAGCUUAACUGCAGAACUGCCGUUGAUACUGAUAGCCUUGAGUUUGGUUAAGGUAGGCGGAAUGUGUAAUGUAGCGGUGAAAUGCUUAGAUAUUACACAGAACACCAAUUGCGUAGGCAGCUUACUGAGCCGACACUGACGCUGAGGCACGAAAGCGUGGGGAUCGAACAG
This 423-nucleotide ribosomal RNA is filed under the name uncultured bacterium. Its description in RNAcentral is "bacterial SSU rRNA". It matches the Rfam family "Bacterial small subunit ribosomal RNA", at positions 355 to 775 of the family's 1533-position model. The record is from RNAcentral.